GGUGAAAUGGCUGAAUAAGGCAAUAAACUGUAAAUUUAUUUAUGAAGAUUAAUUUCUUUCACCA
Molecule: transfer RNA, 64 nt
Filed under: Plateumaris sericea
Lineage: Eukaryota; Metazoa; Arthropoda; Insecta; Coleoptera; Chrysomelidae
Description: tRNA-Tyr
Rfam family: tRNA
About the family: Transfer RNA (tRNA) molecules are approximately 80 nucleotides in length.
Source: RNAcentral